This 491-nucleotide ribosomal RNA is filed under the name uncultured bacterium. Its description in RNAcentral is "partial 16S ribosomal RNA". It matches the Rfam family "Bacterial small subunit ribosomal RNA", at positions 29 to 507 of the family's 1533-position model. The record is from RNAcentral.
AGUGAACGCUGGCGGUAGGCCUAACACAUGCAAGUCGAACGGCAGCACAGUAAGAGCUUGCUCUUACGGGUGGCGAGUGGCGGACGGGUGAGGAAUACAUCGGAAUCUACUUUUUCGUGGGGGAUAACGUAGGGAAACUUACGCUAAUACCGCAUACGACCUACGGGUGAAAGCAGGGGAUCUUCGGACCUUGCGCGAUUGAAUGAGCCGAUGUCGGAUUAGCUAGUUGGCGGGGUAAAGGCCCACCAAGGCGACGAUCCGUAGCUGGUCUGAGAGGAUGAUAGGCAAAACUGGAACUGAGACACGGUCCAGCCUCCUACGGGAGGCAGCAGGGGGGAAUAUUGGACAAUGGGCGCAAGCCUGAUCCAGCCAUACCGCGUGGGUGAAGAAGGCCUUCGGGUUGUAAGCCCUUUUGUUGGGAAAGAAAAGCAGCAGGUUAAUACCCCGCUGUUCUGACGGUACCCAAAGAAUAAGCACCGGCUAACUUCGUG